GAUGAAGAACGUAGCGAAAUGCGAUAAGUAAUGUGAAUUGCAGAUUUCAGUGAAUCAUCGAAUCUUUGAACGCACCUUGCGCCUUGUGGUAUUCCACAAGGCAUGCCCGUUUGAGUAUCAUUAAAUCAUCAACUCUAAAACCUUUGUGGUUUUUUUAGAGCUUGGUCUUGAGGGUUUUGCAGGCUUUUUUUUUUUUCGAGUCUGCUCCCUUUAAAUGCAUUAGCGAGACUUCCCUAUGCUGAACCGUCUCUUUGACGUGAUAAUUAUCUGCGUCGAAUUUUGGUUCUCGUUGGGCUUUCUUCUAAUCGUCUGUUAAAGACAAAACGGAUUUGGGUGCAUAUAUGCGCCUUUUUCCAAAACCUUUUUUGAUCUCAAAUCGGGUAGGACUACCCGCUGAACUUAUGCAUAUCAAUAAGCGGAGGA
This 423-nucleotide unclassified non-coding RNA is filed under the name soil metagenome. Its description in RNAcentral is "partial contains 5.8S ribosomal RNA, internal transcribed spacer 2, and large subunit ribosomal RNA". The stretch from base 1 to 120 matches the Rfam family "5.8S ribosomal RNA", at positions 35 to 154 of the family's 154-position model. The record is from RNAcentral.